This 1169-nucleotide long non-coding RNA is filed under the name Meriones unguiculatus (Mongolian gerbil). Its description in RNAcentral is "lncRNA (ENSMUGG00000021400.1)". Lineage: Eukaryota; Metazoa; Chordata; Mammalia; Rodentia; Muridae. The record is from RNAcentral.
ACACUCAAUCUCCCUUCCCCCACGAAGGCUGCCUUCUGGAAGGAAUGCUGUUAGCACUGCUUUCGCCUUUCCCGGUCUGAAGUUUCGCUCCUCUGGCCUCCGCCUCAGUCACUGGUAGCAAAACGACGACCCCAUCGCCAGUUUGGAUUCCGUUUCCAAAGAUGAGUCUGAGAAAUAGCGGGGUUGUCGCUGUUAAGAAAAGGGAAGAAGCUGAGCUGACCUCUUCCAUUGUGCUGGGAGCGCCAUCCUUCUACUUUCACUGGUGCUGGGGGUUGGGCCUUUGCCUGUGUGUGUAUCUGCUUCCCGGUGCUACCGCUGACACUUGGCGCAGCGGCCCCCUAGCAGCCGCCAAAGGCCCAGAAGGUGGGUCCGUGCCAUCGGCGGAGAGCUGCGACAGUGACACUCUCUCGACAGCGCGGGCCGGACAGCCACCCACGCUGGGGAGCCUCCGGUAGAUGCCCCUUAGGAGCACCCUACGCAGAUGCAGGGAAAACCGCCUGACAUCAUGGGAGCAGGACAAAUGCUCACUUUGAAGGAUUCCUGGGCAGGACUUCAAGUGAAAUCAUAUGCCUGAGAAGAACUUGAUACUGGUCUAGAGAAAAUAACUAGUUCUGACUUUGCCAAACCAUGGAAUGUGCAAAAUGCUCUACUUUUUUGCAAGAGGCCAAGUGUCCCUUAAAAAAAAAAGCUCCCUUAUGAAUAUGAGACCAAAGACCCCAGGGGCAGGAAGCGUGUGCCAAUCUUCAAUGUGGGAAGAAAGGACACAGGUUGUAUGCGGUUCCCUUUGAGGCUGUUUUAUUAAUGUCUGCACUCUGGGUAAGGGGUCUACAACGGGUGCCCUGAAUUAUCUAUGCAACGCUUAACGUGUGUGUGUGUGUGUGUGCACAGAACCCAGAAAUGUGUGCAAGCGCACAUUUACAGCCAUUAGCCAAGGUUUAUCAAUUAAAGGAAGUAAAAAAAAAAAAAAGACAAAACAAUUAUUUUCACAGUGAAAGCAAAUUCAGUACUUGAGAUGGAAGACCAUUUAACAUAAUUCUUCCCCUGAGCCAAAGCAUUGUGGUUGGGGGACAAAGACUGCUGGAGCCAUGGGACUGUGCGAUAAGAUUUAGCGUCUCUGUGAUGGAACGCUGAAACAGCGUGUGCUUCAGACAAAGGUAACGAUAAUAAAA